Molecule: small RNA, 144 nt
Filed under: Caenorhabditis brenneri
Lineage: Eukaryota; Metazoa; Nematoda; Chromadorea; Rhabditida; Rhabditidae
Description: sRNA CBN34384
Source: RNAcentral
UUCUAGCUCAAUUUUGAGGGAAGUUAUGCGCCUUCAAAGUUUUAGGUGAGACGCAGAGAAAGAGACAGUCGUUUUCUCUGCCGUCUCGCACUCUCUCAUUUCUAACUUUAAAGGCGCAUAACUCAUUUCAAAAUUGAGCUAGAG